Molecule: long non-coding RNA, 475 nt
Filed under: Nicotiana tabacum (common tobacco)
Lineage: Eukaryota; Viridiplantae; Streptophyta; Magnoliopsida; Solanales; Solanaceae
Description: long non-coding RNA (NTAB_LNC003032)
Source: RNAcentral
GUUCAUCAGACUAGGUUUUUUUCUUUUUGGUAUCUUAGGAGAAAGAUUCAUCAGACUAUGAUUUCGAUCCUAGGAGAAGGUUCAUCAGACUAGGUCUCUAUCUUAGGAGAAAAAUUCGUCAGACUAAGAUUUUGAUCCUAGGAGAAGGCUCAUCGGACUAGGUCUUGUUUUUUGGUAUCUUAGGAGAAAGAUUCAUUAGACUAAGAUUUCGAUCCUAGGAGAAGGUUCAUCAGACUAGGUCUCUAUCUUAGGAGAAAAAUUCGUCAGACUAAGAUUUUGAUCCUAGGAGAAGGCUCAUCGGACUAGGUCUUGUUUUUUUUUUAAAUUAUUUUUAACAACCACUUAGGAGGAAAUGCAUCUCCUAUGGGUGGAACUAAAACGAACUUAGGAGGAAAUGCAUCUCCUAGGGGGUAAAACUUAAACUUAGGAGGAAAUGCGUCUCCUAUGGGUAAAACUUAAACUUAGGAGGAAAUGC